Non-coding RNA from Coniochaeta pulveracea, 105 nucleotides. The record is from the annotation of a GenBank genome assembly. NCBI's taxonomy places the organism in Eukaryota, Fungi, Ascomycota, Sordariomycetes, Coniochaetales, Coniochaetaceae.
GGCGAAGUGGCGCAAUGGUAGCGUGUGGUCCUCCUACGCCUUGUUCCUGACCAGAACAACGGGGAAGACAGACUGAGGUUGUGGGUUCGAGUCCCAUCUUCGUCG